This is an RNA transcript of Ictalurus furcatus (blue catfish), 2735 nucleotides long. It is a transcript of the gene named delta(3,5)-Delta(2,4)-dienoyl-CoA isomerase, mitochondrial-like, with no coding region annotated. The record is from RefSeq and is a predicted model, not a curated record. Lineage: Eukaryota; Metazoa; Chordata; Actinopteri; Siluriformes; Ictaluridae. The transcript is spliced from 6 exons.
UUGAUCCAGUUUAAACAUAAAAGCUGGUUAUUUUGUCUGUGUUUGAGGAAUUAAAACUCCGUUCUGUUUUUAAAUCCGAGAAUCCCUUCUAUUGUGUGCUGGAAGAUCGCUGGACUUGAAGCAACUCCAAAUGGUGGCCUGUUUGUCCAAAGCCCAGGCUGACCCUCCACCCCUUCAACCUUUGCAGCAAUGCUGGCAGCACUCAUACAUCUAUUUCCCAAAGACAACCUCUGGAUAUGAUGCUGAGCACGUGCACUCAACUUCUUUGGUCGACCAUGGCGAGGCCUGUUCUGAGUGGAACCUGUCCUGUUAAACCACUGUAUGGUCUUGGCCACCGUGCUGCAGCUCGUUGUCAGGGUCUUGUGUCCAAAGCCCGUGGUGGUGGCAGUGCAUGGCGUGUGUGGGAGCAGGUCUGUUGGGAGUGUUAAGUACCAUCAUCUCAUACACUCAGCAAACAAUAUGGAUGGAACUUUCCAGAGUUGUGGUGUCACUUUCCUGCAAAGCUUUAACCAUCAGAGAGUUAUCUUUUACUGGGGCUUUUAGCUGCAGGAGACUGAAUUACUAACAGUUUUUUUUUUGUGGAUCUGAUUUCUUCUUUCGCAGGAGUGGAUCUAAUCACAGUCUGUGAUAUUCGUCUGUGCACACAGGAUGCCUGGUUUCAGGUGAAGUCGUGUGUUCCCUGAUAGUCAAUGAUUGCUGGAGCUCUGGAAAUAGCAGGUGAGAUUGCAGGCCGGAGUCCCGUCGCUGUCCAGGGAACCAAAAUCAACCUCCUCUACUCCUGAGACCACAGUGUAACUGAGAGCCUAGACUACAUGGCUACUUGGAACAUGAACAUGUUGCAGACACAGGAUCUUAUGAAGUCAGCGCAGACAGCCCUGGAAAAGAAGAGUCCGAAAGACGUGCCCUUCUCCAAGCUUUAAAGGAGAAGAUCCAGGGCUGUUGAAGCUGUGGUGGAACUGAGACUUCAUCAUCCACAGAUCUUUAGUUCUUCUUGCUAAGUCUCAGUUUCUUUUUAGUCUUUUUAUUUUUAGACUGGUCAAAAGACCGAUUAGUGGAAGUGAAAUGAUAGAUGAACUUUUAAUUACUUGCUUUAUUAUUUGCAGGUGCCUUGUACAGUAAGACAGGGUAACUAAUACUCAAAAGCUUGUUUUGUGUGUUAACAUGUACAGUAGAUGUACAUAUUUUUUCUGGUGCUGUGUGACUGCAGAAUGUAGUGCAGUUGACACAUUAAAUUUCCUUGGAUGCUCACUUUUAACUCGAGGAGGUCACAGUUUGCCCAGACAUCUUUUUUUAAAUCCGUCAAUCCGUCACCCACACGUCAUUCUGGGGGACGAAGAGGAGGAAGCUGGACAGAUACAUUUAUUUAUUUAUUUAUCAUUGCUGUGUUUCCUCAAUCGAGUGCAGAAAGAAGAAAAACAACACAACUGAUUUAAAAUAAAAAUAUAGAAAACAAUCUAAUGUAAGGUUCUGAUCCGGUUUGCUUUCAGCAGGAAGGCUGUCCUCUUUCCUGUUGCUCUUUCUCUUCUAUUAGUCCAUUUGUCCAGUCUGAAUCGGUUUGAUUGUUUGAUUCGUUUCGAGACGAUUCGGAGUCAAAUCAUUUUCUAGUGAGAGUCGCACACUUCCAAACGAACUAGACUGAGAUGAGUAUUUGAUUCUCACUAGAAAGUGAUUUGACUCUGAAUCAACUCGAAAUGAAUCAGUCAAACUGAUUCAGACUCUAUAAAAGGACUAUGAGAUGUGAUUAAGAUAUAUAUUCCAAUGUUGUCAGAGAAACUCUGACACAACAGUACAUCCUGACCAUUGGUACUGUGUACACAUCAACAUACACGCACGUCUCCAUGCUGGACAUCUCAGGAGCUUUCACACACAGUGCUAGGAAUAUCCCGGGACAGAGAAACGCACCUCCUAAGUGAGCGAGUUUAGCGUCAACCGGUGAAAUUUGCUGUAGCGUGAACACUUCGCCUCUGUGAGCUUCACUCUCCGUCAGGUUCACUGUAAUUAGACAUAAAAGUACAUAAUGUUUAUUUUUCAUACAUUUAGGAUUUAAUGUUGUUUUUUUUUUUUACUCUUCGAGGAACAGAAAUGAUCUUUUGAGGCAGCUUCUUCAUCACUACCUGCUCCGUUUGACUCAAAAAUGUAACGACCGGUUUCAAAAAGUCACGAUGUCUUCAGUUCAUGUGAUUUUACUGUUGAAUUUAAACAGGAAAUGUGAAAUAUUUUUUUCCUUUGUUUCCUCUACUGUCUUUUUGCUGUGAUCUUGAACAUGGUUGUAAUUUUAUUUUAUUUUUUUUAAAUAAAUAAAUGAUCAUUCUAUUCUUUCUCACUUUCCUUGUCCUAAUUGUCCUGUAUCUGUUAAAUCCGUUUCAUCUCUGGUCUUUCUGUCUGUAUGAACACUUGUAGAAAUGACUUGUAGUCCAUAUUUUUAAAUGAUUUUAUUCAUGAUUUUGAAUUUAAAUAAAGAUAUUCUUUAAUUCUGUAUUUUGUCAUUUAAUUAUCAUUAGAAAUCAGAAGAUCAGAUUAAAGCCACAGCUUCUUUACCUGCCAAAGCUGUAAAACUUUCAAUAAACCAGUCAAUAGAUCAGCUGAAUAAAUGUAGAUUUUUAUUUACUGAUUAGAUGUAUUGAUGGUGUUGAUAGAUUAUUUGAAGAUUUUUAUUGAUCUUGGACAAUCAUUCAGUUAAAUAUUGAAAAAAACUUGAUAAAUAGUUGUUUAAAUAAAUGCAGUGUAAUGUACUG